GCCUACGGGGCGCAGCAGUGGGGGAUAUUGCACAAUGGGGGAAACCCUGAUGCAGCGACGCCGCGUGAGUGAAGAAGUAUUUCGGUACGUAAAGCUCUAUCAGCAGGGAAGAAUAAUGACGGUACCUGACUAAGAAGCCCCGGCUAACUACGUGCCAGCAGCCGCGGUAAUACGUAGGGGGCAAGCGUUAUCCGGAUUUACUGGGUGUAAAGGGAGCGCAGACGGCAGCGCAAGUCUGGAGUGAAAGCCCGGGGCCCAACCCCGGAACUGCUCUGGAAACUGUGCGGCUAGAGUACUGGAGGGGG
Molecule: ribosomal RNA, 305 nt
Filed under: uncultured bacterium
Lineage: Bacteria
Description: bacterial SSU rRNA
Rfam family: Bacterial small subunit ribosomal RNA
Source: RNAcentral